Molecule: unclassified non-coding RNA, 232 nt
Filed under: uncultured fungus
Lineage: Eukaryota; Fungi
Description: sequence contains ITS1, 5.8S rRNA gene
Rfam family: 5.8S ribosomal RNA (bases 184-232)
Source: RNAcentral
UUUCCGUAGGUGAACCUGCGGAGGGAUCAUUACCGAGUGAGGGUUCCGGCCCGACCUCCAACCCUUUGUGAAUUCGACCCAGUUGCCUCGGGGGCGACCCCGCGCCCGGCGCGGGCCAGCCCCCGGUGGACACCACACAAACCCUGCGUCGCAUGCGUCGGUUGAAUUGAUUGAAUAUCAAAAAACUUUCAACAACGGAUCUCUUGGUUCUGGCAUCGAUGAAGAACGCAGC